RNAcentral lists this ribosomal RNA (274 nucleotides) under uncultured bacterium. RNAcentral describes it as "partial 16S ribosomal RNA". It matches the Rfam family "Bacterial small subunit ribosomal RNA", at positions 523 to 796 of the family's 1533-position model. The record is from RNAcentral.
CUACGGAGGGUGCAAGCGUUAUUCGGAAUCACUGGGCGUAAAGGGUGCGUAGGCGGUUUGAUAAGUCUGAUGUGAAAUCCUAUGGCUCAACCAUAGAACUGCAUUGGAAACUGUCAGACUAGAAUACUGAAGGGGCAGAUGGAAUUAGUGGUGUAGGGGUAAAAUCCGUAGAUAUCACCAGGAAUACCGAAAGCGAAAGCGAUCUGCUGGGAAGUUAUUGACGCUGAGGCACGAAAGCGUGGGGAGCAAACGGGAUUAGAUACCCUUGUAGUCC